Non-coding RNA from Ralstonia solanacearum, 89 nucleotides. The record is from Rfam. Lineage: Bacteria; Pseudomonadati; Pseudomonadota; Betaproteobacteria; Burkholderiales; Burkholderiaceae.
GUGCAUCGCGGGCCGGGCGGGGCAGCCUUCGGGCUGGCCGGUUUCUACGUUGCCGGUUUUCGACCCCCGCUGUCUGGCCCGCCACCCCU